This is a long non-coding RNA of Oreochromis aureus, 1842 nucleotides long. RefSeq lists it as uncharacterized. The transcript is spliced from 3 exons. NCBI's taxonomy places the organism in Eukaryota, Metazoa, Chordata, Actinopteri, Cichliformes, Cichlidae. The record is from RefSeq and is a predicted model, not a curated record.
UCAGCAGUGCGUCAGCGGGCGUGGCUUAAGCGAUCCGCUUUCAUUCCUCAGCCCUCUGUGUUUUCCAGAGGUGUCCUCUGGUUGGUCGGUUUGAAUAUUUGAGCUCGAGGUGCGGAGCCCGCAAACAGGGAUGAACAACAGCGUGGAGACAUCCUGCAAACAGUGUCUAAGAGCACGCCUGACCUCGUGAGGUGAGCUGAUUUAAACUUAAAGACAACAGUCUCCGCAUGGCAGGUGCAUCCUGUGUGAGGAGAGGAGAUGAGCAUUACAAAGCCAGGCCAUGUCUCUGGCACAGAGUCUGAUGCAUCUGAUAAGGACCUGCAGGAACACUUCGGUUACCAACAGAGCAGGUCAAGCGACACCCAGAUGUCAAGCCACCCUGUCCAUCAGGCAGCGAAUCCUGAAGCGAUCAUGUCAGGCUGUCAUGCAAGCCUGAGAGGGGCUCAACGAUUGCAUGACAGCCCUGAUGGCACUGAUGUGUAUCCCCCGCCCCUCUUGGGUAGAAUUUGAGAAGGCCUGCUUUCCUCCGCUUCAUGAAAUCCAUCUUGAUAGAAGACCGCAGGGAGACCUUGUGGGUGCAGCACAGUGCCAGAAAGAAGUCAGCAAGCAAGUGGAUUACAUUCAUAAAGAGCAGGCUUUGUUAAUGAAAAGGGCAUUACCUCAACUUCUGAGGUGCUUUUUGUUUCUUUUAAUUGAACUUCAGGAAUUUUUUAUGCUUUUGCAUGACCAUUUAAAUUACAAUUCUUACUUCUUCUGAAAUAAUCUUUAAAAGUGUAUUACAAACCACCAACUUGACCACGCACACACAAAGAGCACUUUAGAGUUAAAGCUAAGAAGAUCAAGAUGGAGAAAAGUCUGAAAGGAAGAAUUUUUCAAUCAUCUCGCAACCCCACAGAUUUAUCUUGUGACUAAGUUGAGGUACAAAGUUUGAGAACACUGUACUAAAUCUUAUAAGAGAGAUUUACACAAAUAAUGUUGCUCACGAGGAUCAUUUUUCUGCAGAUUGACAUCUUUCAGUAUGUUUUGUUGAUAAAGCCUCUAUUUCUAUAUUCUUGCAUUUAUUUCAGAAUUUGAAAUAUUGUUAGUUUAUAUAAUUAAAUAAUCUCUGUGUGGUUUUGCGAACAUUAAAAAAACAAAACAGGUUUAUUUUUGUAGCCAAGCAGGUUAAAAAACGUGCUACGUAAGUCACCCGACACCGAUGAACUGCUUAAACAGGUAACGGCAAACAAAUAUCCAUGACGUGACAACACUCGUGAGAAGGCUGAAAGUCAUCUCCAUAUUAGGACUAAUGAAACCCAACUUGUGGCUCUCCUUAAUGAGCUAAAGCACAAACUCUUGGCAUCACGCACGGUGACGGUGUCCUCCGUGAGAGUCAAGGAGACAACCUCAAAUAACACCGACAGGGUGAAGAAGGUAAAGGAGAGGGGCGAAUGAUACGUAAGAAAAGGAGGGAAUGAGAGAGUGAUGGUGUCAAUUGCUCCUGUUUUUUCCCCCUUCACAUUAAGUGUCCUUGACAUGGCUGUAAUGAUACUACUCUACCUCUUUGUCUGUUUUUAGCACUGCAUUUAUCUUAGAUCUACACACGGCACAUGCCAGGUGCUCAUUGCAUUCACGUCAGCCGUUUGUUCUUAACAUGAUACUCACCUGAACUCCCCACUGGACUUUUGCCCUUAACCUGGAAUAUUAUUCUGUCUCCUCAUUAUCAGCACAGAGUACUAAACUUCCAGGUAAAUUAUCAAACUGCUGAAACCACAAUCAAUCUCUCACAUUUAAAGAUUCAUUGUGCUCAAAAAUGCCCUCAUUCAGUCACUCGGCUCCUCUGGGAUGUUGGGACACUUUGAU